CCUAUGGGGGGCAGCAGUCGCGAAAACUUCACAAUGGAGGCAACUCCGAUGAGGGAAUUCCUAGUGCCAAUGCAUUUUGUGUUGGCUUUUCUUCAGCGUAGAUAACUGUUGGAAUAAGGGCUGGGUAAGACGGGUGCCAGCCGCCGCGGUAAUACCCGCGGCCCAAGUGGUGGUCGAUAUUAUUGAGUCUAAAACGUUCGUAGCCGGUUCAAUAAAUCUCUGGGUAAAUCGGAGGGCUUAACCUUCCGAAUUCCGGAGAGACUGUUGAACUUGGGACCGGGAGAGGCAAGAGGUACUUCUGGGGUAGGGGUAAAAUCCUGUAAUCCUAGAAGGACCACCGGUGGCGAAGGCGUCUUGCUAGAACGGAUCCGACGGUGAGGGACGAAGCCCUGGGGCGCAAACGGGAUUAGAUACCCCAGUAGUCC
This 425-nucleotide ribosomal RNA is filed under the name uncultured Thermogymnomonas sp. Its description in RNAcentral is "bacterial SSU rRNA". It matches the Rfam family "Archaeal small subunit ribosomal RNA", at positions 322 to 747 of the family's 1478-position model. Lineage: Archaea; Methanobacteriati; Thermoplasmatota; Thermoplasmata; Thermoplasmatales. The record is from RNAcentral.